GAUGAACGCUGGCGGCGUGCCUAACACAUGCAAGUCGAACGGAGUCCAGCCUUUAAGACCUUCGGGUCAAAGAGGGGAAGACUGAGUGGCGGACGGGUGAGUAACACGUGGGCAACCUGGCUCAUAGAGGGGGAUAACAGAGAGAAAUUUCUGCUAAUACCGCAUAAGCACACACUGCCGCAUGGCAGAGGGUGAAAAGAGAAUCGCUAUGAGAUGGACCCGCGUCUGAUUAGCCAGUUGGCAGGGUAAGAGCCUACCAAAGCGACGAUCAGUAGCCGAUCUGAGAGGAUGAACGGCCACAUUGGGACUGAGACACGGCCCAAACUCCUACGGGAGGCAGCAGUGGGGGAUAUUGCACAAUGGGGGGAACCCUGAUGCAGCGACGCCGCGUGAGUGAAGAAGUAUUUCGGUAUGUAAAGCUCUAUCAGCAGGGAAGAUAAUGACAGUACCGGAAUAAGAAGCCCCGGCUAACUACGU
Molecule: ribosomal RNA, 477 nt
Filed under: uncultured bacterium
Lineage: Bacteria
Description: partial 16S ribosomal RNA
Rfam family: Bacterial small subunit ribosomal RNA
Source: RNAcentral